GAUGCCUUUGGGUGCUAUCGGAAUUAUAGUUUUCCAAUCAGACACGAUAUGCAACUACGCAAUAAUAAACAGAUGUGGGGCUUUCAAAAGGAAAAGCAUUGCACAUGGUUGGCUGUGGACGUGGUCCCAAGGUUGGUUUCUUGAUGAAGCAGUGAGACGUUCAGCCUGGACACUCUUUAAGGUUGACCGGACCAAACGCACCAGACAGUCUGUCAAAAGAAACCGAGUCGCUGUUGAUCCUCAUGUCCUGGAUGCAUCCCACAAAGGACGAUGUAACAGGGAGCAUCUUUUGCAUUGACAUCUCUGCAGCAGAAAAACAGUCUGAUCCUGCCUUUGGAUAUGUAUAAAGCGAGAUGAGAGCGCCCCUCUCUGGUAGCAGCAAAGAACAGCAGGCCCUCAGGAGCUCGAGUCCUGACAUCGAGAGAAAAGUGGGGCCUGGAGAGGAUGAAGACAGACACCAUCUUAGUGUUUGCUUGUGAUGGCUCUGCCAUGACAUAUUGUAGUGUUCUUCUUAAGAGGGCAAACUCAGCCAAGCACACUUGUCAUUUACAAAUCCUCCAUUCAUGCGUGUUGUAUGUGCAUAUGAAAUGUGAUGGAAAACAGGUUACUCACCUGGGCUGCAGGACCUGUAGUGGAAGGCUGUAGCUCAGGCUGCUGACAGGGCCACUAAUGCGAUAAGCAUUUUGAACCAGGGCUGGUAAUGCACACGCUGAUAGACUCUCAUUUAUCGCCUGCAUCACAACGUCCUAAAAGAGCAAAAACAAACAAGACCCACUCAGCACAAGGCACAAAAUUGUCACUCCUAUCCGAGUUUGUGCACGUAUAUCUAAGUCACGUAAGUCUCCAACGGGGUUCAGCUCUGUCAGUAAAUAAAGAUGAGAGGGUGAGACAAUGUAUAGUGGUCAGAACGACUACAAUACUA
Molecule: long non-coding RNA, 922 nt
Organism: Etheostoma cragini (Arkansas darter)
Lineage: Eukaryota; Metazoa; Chordata; Actinopteri; Perciformes; Percidae
Exons: 3
Source: RefSeq, a predicted model, not a curated record